GACGUAGGGCGCGAGCGUUGUCCGGAUUUAUUGGGCGUAAAGAGCUCGUAGGCGGUUUGUCGCGUCGUCCGUGAAAACUCACAGCUUAACUGUGAGCUUGCGGUCGAUACGGGCAGGCUAGAGUUCGGUAGGGGAGACUGGAAUUCCUGGUGUAGCGGUGAAAUGCGCAGAUAUCAGGAGGAACACCGAUGGCGAAGGCAGCUCGCUGGGACGGUACUGACGCUGAGGCGCGAAAGCGUGGGGAGCAAACAGG
This 253-nucleotide ribosomal RNA is filed under the name uncultured bacterium. RNAcentral describes it as "partial 16S ribosomal RNA". It matches the Rfam family "Bacterial small subunit ribosomal RNA", at positions 524 to 776 of the family's 1533-position model. The record is from RNAcentral.